RNAcentral lists this long non-coding RNA (478 nucleotides) under Nicotiana benthamiana. RNAcentral describes it as "long non-coding RNA (NBEN_LNC028392)". Lineage: Eukaryota; Viridiplantae; Streptophyta; Magnoliopsida; Solanales; Solanaceae. The record is from RNAcentral.
UAGAUUUUUCCAGAAAAAAUCCUUCAUUUAAAAUAAUUAGACGUCUCUUUUAUAACCAAAGUCUUAAGGCGACAAAAUCUUUUUGUUUUCCUUUUAGUCCUUUACCCAUUUUUCAGAUUUGCCUAAAUGAUCCUUGAUUUUCUAACUUGUGACUCAAGUUUUAAGGCAGAUUUGACAGAAAUUGUAUUUUGACCCUUCAUUAGAAUGUUCCUGGAGUUUGUUACAGAUUCCCAUGUUCAAAUAACCUUAAUACCCCUGUUUUCUUUUCUUAAUUACUGACUAUAUGUGUUACAACAUGAUGCCUGUCUAUUUGGUCAACAAUUGACCCUAAGUAACUACCUAAGGUCAUAAACCAACGUUAUUAUCAGCUGGGAUCACAUUUGAGGGUUAUACUAUACUAUGCAAGAGCAAACGAUCAAGGGUCAAAAACUGAUCAGUGCAACACAUAUAUUCAGGCAAAUAUCACAAUGUGGAAUUG